CUACGGGUUGCUGCAGUGGGGAAUAUUGGACAAUGGGGGAAACCCUGAUCCAGCAAUGCCGCGUGUGUGAAGAAGGCCUGCAGGUUGUAAAGCACUUUCGGUUGGGAGGACUGCUUCUAGCACUAAUAUUGUUGGAAGUUGACGUUACCUUCAGAAGAAGCACCGGCUAACUCCGUGCCAGCAGCCGCGGUAAUACGGAGGGUGCAAGCGUUAAUCGGAACUACUGGGCGUAAAGCGCGCGUAGGCGGCUAGAUCAGUCGGGUGUGAAAGCCCCGGGCUUAACCUGGGAACUGCAUCCGAUACUGUCUAGCUUGAGUACAGGAGAGGAGAGUGGAAUUCCACAUGUAGCGGUGAAAUGCGUAGAUAUGUGGAGGAACACCAAUGGCGAAGGCAGCUCUCUGGCCUGAUACUGACGCUGAGGUGCGAAAGCGUGGGGAGCAGACAGGAUUAGAUACCCCAGUAGUC
Molecule: ribosomal RNA, 465 nt
Filed under: uncultured bacterium
Lineage: Bacteria
Description: partial 16S ribosomal RNA
Rfam family: Bacterial small subunit ribosomal RNA
Source: RNAcentral